Molecule: ribosomal RNA, 256 nt
Filed under: uncultured bacterium
Lineage: Bacteria
Description: partial 16S ribosomal RNA
Rfam family: Bacterial small subunit ribosomal RNA
Source: RNAcentral
UACGUAGGGGGCGAGCGUUGUCCGGAAUCAUUGGGCGUAAAGAGCUCGUAGGCGGCUCGGUAAGUCGGGUGUGAAACCCCCAGGCUCAACCUGGGGACGCCACCCGAUACUGCUGUGGCUAGAGUCCAGUAGGGGAGUGUGGAAUUCCCGGUGUAGCGGUGAAAUGCGCAGAUAUCGGGAGGAACACCAGCGGCGAAGGCGGCACUCUGGGCUGGAACUGACGCUGAGGAGCGAAAGCGUGGGUAGCAAACGAGGA